This 72-nucleotide transfer RNA is filed under the name Leptolyngbya sp. 'hensonii'. It matches the Rfam family "tRNA". Rfam says of the family: Transfer RNA (tRNA) molecules are approximately 80 nucleotides in length. Their secondary structure includes four short double-helical elements and three loops (D, anti-codon, and T loops). Lineage: Bacteria; Bacillati; Cyanobacteriota; Cyanophyceae; Leptolyngbyales; Leptolyngbyaceae. RNAcentral also lists the same sequence under 3 other names. The record is from Rfam by way of RNAcentral.
GGCGCCAUAGCCAAGUGGUAAGGCAGAGGUCUGCAAAACCUCCACUCCCCAGUUCGAAUCUGGGUGGCGCCU